Molecule: ribosomal RNA, 433 nt
Filed under: uncultured bacterium
Lineage: Bacteria
Description: partial 16S ribosomal RNA
Rfam family: Bacterial small subunit ribosomal RNA
Source: RNAcentral
AACGAACGCUGGCGGCAUGCCUAACACAUGCAAGUCGAACGAGACCUUCGGGUCUAGUGGCGCACGGGUGCGUAACGCGUGGGAACCUGCCCUUAGGUUCGGAAUAACUCAGAGAAAUUUGAGCUAAUACCGGAUAAUGUCUUCGGACCAAAGAUUUAUCGCCUUUGGAUGGGCCCGCGUAGGAUUAGCUUGUUGGUGGGGUAAUGGCCUACCAAGGCGACGAUCCUUAGCUGGUCUGAGAGGAUGAUCAGCCACACUGGGACUGAGACACGGCCCAGACCCCUACGGGAGGCAGCAGUGGGGAAUAUUGGACAAUGGGCGAAAGCCUGAUCCAGCAAUGCCGCGUGAGUGAUGAAGGCCUUAGGGUUGUAAAGCUCUUUUACCAGGGAUGAUAAUGACAGUACCUGGAGAAUAAGCUCCGGCUAACUCCGUG